AAGAGAAAAAAUGUAUACAAUUUUACAUGUCUCUGACUGAUUCCAAAAUGGCAUUUUCUACAGUGAAGUUUAUCUUUCAAUAAUUUUUAUUCAACAAGAGCAGAGGACAAAAAACAACAACACAUACAUCUUGUGUCGAAUAUACAGAAGGUAUUAAGGACAGCCAUAUAAAAAAUGCAAAUCUAGGGUCCCAUGACAUAUAGACAGGAAGUUACACCUUGCGCAUAACAAUACAAGAUACAAUGCGCUAAAAUAGUAUAGCUCUCUAGCGCCAGGGGUCUCAAACAUAUAGGUACACCUAACCAAGACUUCAAAGGGUUAGUACCCAAAAACAGAAAACCAGCAUAUUUCACAACAAAAAAAUCCUUGGGCCCCCACCAGUGAGCAGUACCUUAUCAUGAAAGUAUGGUAUACACAAGAAAACCAGUAAAAGAAGCAAAGAAGAGAAAGGAAAGAAAGCAAACAGAACAGAAAAGAGAAGAAGACCUAUGUUCUCAAUUGCGACGUGCAAUCAUUGCCUGAGAAGAUGUAAUGGAGACAUUCAAAUAAACAGCCCUCGGUUCCCAGAUUUGUUCAAAUUGAUGCUGCUUAUCAUUGAUACUAGCAAUUUUCUCAUGGAGCAUAAUCCAGGAGAGUUUAUGCGUCAUCCUCUGCAAUGACACUGAAGGUAAUUUCCAGGCUUCCGCUAUCGUGAUUUUAGCAGAUAAAAGGAUAAAGAACACUCGCCUCAGAAAAGAGCGGGGAAUUCUUGGUGGAAAUUCAUUCAGCAAUGCUAUUUGAGGCAGUUGCAAUAAGAGGAGACCACUCCCAUGACAAAGCAUGGAAAAGACCUUGUUCCAGAAUCUUCGGAAGCAGUCUGAAGAGGUAUUUGUGUACAUCUUAGCAAGGUAAGAGGGAGCCAAAUACCUUCUAGUCACAACCUUUAGAUUGACUUCUAUCAAGGAGAUGUUCAAAAUCACCCUGAAGCAGGCUUGAAAUCGAGAAGAUCCAGACCAAGAUCCCUCUCCCAUGCUAGCAUAUACGGUAACUUAUGGGAAGAGGCAAGCAACAGUCUAUAUAUAUCGCAGAGAUGCCUCCCUGCAAACCCAAACCCUAAGUACAUCACUGUUCAUAUCGUCAAGGUGGGGGGAUCAGGUGUUCGGAGCUGAAGAGAAUGCAAAAAGUGUGAAAUUUGAUAAAAAACAUUUAACUGUUCAGUCUAUAGUGACAUUUUAUGGUAAAAUAUAUACUAUAAAGUCAACGGGAUGUACAGUAUAUUGUCUAGCUGAAGAAAGCGUGAAGAUGCUUUUCUGUAACAUAUAAGGACAGUUGUAGAUCAUAGAGUAACUAACUGUAAGACCACAUAUUAAAAAAUUAUAGACAUGUAACUAACACUCCAAGAUGACCACACGAUCAUCUUGCACUGUGUUAAGAAUACAAUUAUCCUGAGUCUAGGUCCACUGUAAAACAGAUCCUGGAUAUAAAUGUAAGGUCCUGUUACUACUUAGCCCCCAACCCCACAUUAAAAAUCGAAGGUUUAAGGUGUUUGCUACUUUUUUAAAUACUUGGGGUGCAUUUUUACUUUUAUUUUAUUUUUUUUUUUUUAUACAUUCAUAGUCUGGGGAACGGGCACAGUAAUAAGUAGACUUUUAGAAGCUCGUACCAGCAGGGAAGAAAUUUUCAGAACAGGAUUAGCAAUAUUUUAAUUUUCCUAGUAUGCUUGAAUACAUAAAUAGAAAUUGAAUACAUUUUUAGGAUCUUGUAGCAGGAUUUGGUUUUGCGUGAUUUUUGUAAGGAUAAAUAUAUCUGCUUAAUGUCAAUCUUCAGAUGCAAUUGUCUUAGCACUGUGGACAUUACCUUAAAGAAAUGUUAGUUAAAAAAACUAUAAUGUAUUUACAUUCUGUAAUAA
Rana temporaria (common frog) is the source of this 1888-nucleotide long non-coding RNA. RefSeq lists it as uncharacterized. The record is from RefSeq and is a predicted model, not a curated record. The transcript is spliced from 2 exons. Lineage: Eukaryota; Metazoa; Chordata; Amphibia; Anura; Ranidae.